This 301-nucleotide ribosomal RNA is filed under the name uncultured bacterium. RNAcentral's name for it is "partial 16S ribosomal RNA". It matches the Rfam family "Bacterial small subunit ribosomal RNA", at positions 509 to 807 of the family's 1533-position model. The record is from RNAcentral.
CAGCAGCCGCGGUAAUACGUAGGGUGCGAGCGUUAAUCGGAAUUACUGGGCGUAAAGCGUGCGCAGGCGGUUUUGUAAGACAGGCGUGAAAUCCCCGGGCUUAACCUGGGAACUGCGCUUGUGACUGCACAGCUAGAGUAUGGCAGAGGGGGGUGGAAUUCCACGUGUAGCAGUGAAAUGCGUAGAGAUGUGGAGGAACACCGAUGGCGAAGGCAGCCCCCUGGGCCAAUACUGACGCUCAUGCACGAAAGCGUGGGGAGCAAACAGGAUUAGAUACCCCUGUAGUCCCUGUCUCUUAUAC